GAGGUUAGAUUGGUACUUUACAUGAAGUCUUAAUUUCUCACAUCAAGUUUGGUUCUCUGUGAUAUUGAAACUGUUGAUGUCUGUUUUUUUACUGCCCAAUUUUUCUGAUUUUUUCACCAUGUUUCUUCAGAUAGGAUCUAAACAAAGCCCCUACUAAUAUUGAGGUUGUAGUGGUCCACAGAUGAUGACACGGAUGCAUCUAUUGACAACAUGGAAGAGGAGGGUAGAUAUCAUGGAUGGGAAUGCGGCUACAUGGUUCUCCAACAUAUGUCUGACUUUGUCAAUUUGUAUCAAAACCAGUUUCCCGAGGAAUUGUGGCACGACACGAGAGAGGCUAUGGAUAAUGAAAUAGAUGUUUUGUUGAUGACGUUGAUGCCGAAGUUUUUUAGCGAGUUAGGUAUUUUGCUAGAUUAGCGUAUGUAGUUUAUUUAUACAAUUUAACAUAGUUUGUUAUGCAUUCACAAAUGAUUGUAGUUUGACGGGUUUAUCUCCGAAUUGGAUGUCUACGGGUUUAUUUUGGAUUUGAAUAUGUAUUGUUUUGGUUUGA
Helianthus annuus (common sunflower) is the source of this 547-nucleotide long non-coding RNA. RefSeq lists it as uncharacterized. The record is from RefSeq and is a predicted model, not a curated record. NCBI's taxonomy places the organism in Eukaryota, Viridiplantae, Streptophyta, Magnoliopsida, Asterales, Asteraceae. The transcript is spliced from 3 exons.